Molecule: non-coding RNA, 31 nt
Filed under: Mus musculus (house mouse)
Lineage: Eukaryota; Metazoa; Chordata; Mammalia; Rodentia; Muridae
Source: RNAcentral
UACAGGGUUGGAUAGGGUGAAAACGCGUUGU